UACGAACUGUGCAAACGUUAUUCGGAUUCACUGGGCUUAAAGGGUGCGUAGGCGGCUUGCCAAGUAGGGUGUGAAAGCCCCCGGCUUAACCGGGGAAUUGCGCCCUAAACUGGCGAGCUGGAGUGAGAUAGGGGUGUGUGGAACUUCCGGUGGAGCGGUGAAAUGCGCAGAUAUCAGGAGGAACACCGGUGGCGAAGGCGGGUCUCUGGGCCGAUACUGACGCUGAGGAGCGAAAGCGUGGGGAGCGAACAGG
This 253-nucleotide ribosomal RNA is filed under the name uncultured bacterium. Its description in RNAcentral is "partial 16S ribosomal RNA". It matches the Rfam family "Bacterial small subunit ribosomal RNA", at positions 524 to 776 of the family's 1533-position model. The record is from RNAcentral.